CUUAUCCAGAACGGCAGAGGGGACGGCCCUAUGAAGCCUAGCAACGGGUCUUAGACCCUUACGGGCGUAGAUACGGUGCUAACUCCGGCGUCUGACAGUUAACGGUCAGGCGAAAGAUGAG
RNAcentral lists this non-coding RNA (121 nucleotides) under marine eukaryotic metagenome. RNAcentral describes it as "SAM riboswitch (S box leader)". It matches the Rfam family "SAM riboswitch aptamer (S box leader)". Rfam says of the family: The SAM riboswitch is found upstream of a number of genes which code for proteins involved in methionine or cysteine biosynthesis in Gram-positive bacteria. The SAM riboswitch acts at the level of transcription termination control. The record is from RNAcentral.